Molecule: ribosomal RNA, 494 nt
Filed under: uncultured bacterium
Lineage: Bacteria
Description: partial 16S ribosomal RNA
Rfam family: Bacterial small subunit ribosomal RNA
Source: RNAcentral
GACGAACGCUGGCGGCGUGCUUAACACAUGCAAGUCGAACGGUGAAGCGCCUUCCUUUUUGGUGGGUGUGGAUGAGUGGCGAACGGGUGAGUAACACGUGAGUAACCUGCCCCCUUCUUCUGGAUAACCGCAUGAAAGUGUGGCUAAUACGGGAUAUUCUGGGUCUGUCGCAUGAUGGGUCUGGGAAAGAUAUUGUUUCGGUGGGGGAUGGGCUCGCGGCCUAUCAGCUUGUUGGUGGGGUGAUGGCCUACCAAGGCGGUGACGGGUAGCCGGCCUGAGAGGGUGGACGGUCACACUGGGACUGAGACACGGCCCAGACUCCGACGAGAGGCAGCAGUGGGGAAUAUUGCACAAUGGGCGCAAGCCUGAUGCAGCGACGCCGCGUGAGGGAUGGAGGCCUUCGGGUUGUGAACCUCUUUCGCCAGUGAAGCAGGCCUGCCUCGUUUGUGGGUGGGUUGACGGUAGCUGGAUAAGAAGCGCCGGCUAACUACGUG